UUACUCCUCGAUUUAUCGAGCAUUCGUUGCCUGAUCUUACACCUGAGCAGAGAAAAAGCAUGAGAGAAAUCAGUAAAGCUGACGGGCCUAGGAUUAAGUAUCUGGAAAGAGUUGUUCAUAAGAAGAGGAAGUAUUCCGAGCAGCACUCUGUUCGAACUGCUACCCAGGAGUUCCUUGAGAAAGCUGCCCGUGAACUUCUUGGUGAAAACCAGAGUGGUUUUAAGGGACCUUUACAACUGCCAGAGGG
Molecule: non-coding RNA, 247 nt
Organism: Solanum lycopersicum (tomato)
Lineage: Eukaryota; Viridiplantae; Streptophyta; Magnoliopsida; Solanales; Solanaceae
Source: RefSeq, a predicted model, not a curated record